Molecule: ribosomal RNA, 252 nt
Filed under: uncultured bacterium
Lineage: Bacteria
Description: partial 16S ribosomal RNA
Rfam family: Bacterial small subunit ribosomal RNA
Source: RNAcentral
UACGGAGGAUGCGAGCGUUAUCCGGAUUUAUUGGGUUUAAAGGGUGCGUAGGCGGGAUGCCAAGUCAGCGGUAAAAAUGCGGUGCUCAACGCCGUCGAGCCGUUGAAACUGGCGUUCUUGAGUGGGCGAGAAGUAUGCGGAAUGCGUGGUGUAGCGGUGAAAUGCAUAGAUAUCACGCAGAACUCCGAUUGCGAAGGCAGCAUACCGGGGCCCUACUGACGCUGAGGCACGAAAGCGUGGGUAUCGAACAGG